AUACGGAGGAUCCGAGCGUUAUCCGGAUUUAUUGGGUUUAAAGGGUGCGCAGGCGGCCAUUUAAGUCAGCGGUUAAAUCGUGGGGCUCAACCCCAUUCAGCCGUUGAUACUGGGUGGCUUGAUUGCGGUCGAGGUUGGCGGAAUUCGUUGUGUAGCGGUGAAAUGCAUAGAUAUGACGAAGAACACCGAUUGCGUAGGCAGCUGACCAGACCGCAAAUGACGCUCAUGCACGAAAGUGCGGGGAUCGAACAGGAUUAGAUACCCUGGUAGUCCGCACAGUAAACGAUGAAUACUUGUUUUCGGCGAUAUAAUGUCGGAGGCAAAGCGAAAGCGAUAAGUAUUCCACCUGGGGAGUACGCCGGCAACGGUGAAACUCAAAUGAAUUGACGGGG
RNAcentral lists this ribosomal RNA (392 nucleotides) under uncultured bacterium. RNAcentral describes it as "partial 16S ribosomal RNA". It matches the Rfam family "Bacterial small subunit ribosomal RNA", at positions 523 to 918 of the family's 1533-position model. The record is from RNAcentral.